GGGGUUCGGGGCUUUUCUAGACCUGCGUGAGAAGGUCUUUCUUCUUAAGCAAAAGCCCGGGGGGGAGGGGGGGGGCGUCAUACCCCCGUAGGUCUAGUUUGUGAGAAGGUCUUUCUUCUUAAGCAAAAGCCCGGGAGGCCGUCAUACCCCCGUAGGUCUAGUUUUUUUCUUUUACAUAUGGGUGCACGCUUCAUCAACUUAACAUUGAACUGUAGUAUGCACAUAAUGAUGCCACUCCAUCAGCUCAGACCUAGCAUGGUUCUCAGUCACC
RNAcentral lists this long non-coding RNA (271 nucleotides) under Setaria viridis. RNAcentral's name for it is "long non-coding RNA (SVIR_LNC001212)". The record is from RNAcentral. Lineage: Eukaryota; Viridiplantae; Streptophyta; Magnoliopsida; Poales; Poaceae.